This 28-nucleotide non-coding RNA is filed under the name Mus musculus (house mouse). Lineage: Eukaryota; Metazoa; Chordata; Mammalia; Rodentia; Muridae. The record is from RNAcentral.
UGGCAGCCAUUACUUAAGUAUACUUCUU